RNAcentral lists this ribosomal RNA (252 nucleotides) under uncultured bacterium. Its description in RNAcentral is "partial 16S ribosomal RNA". It matches the Rfam family "Archaeal small subunit ribosomal RNA", at positions 474 to 727 of the family's 1478-position model. The record is from RNAcentral.
UACCAGCACCCCGAGUGGUCGGGACGUUUAUUGGGCCUAAGCAUCCGUAGCCGGUUCUACAAGUCUUCCGUUAAAUCCACCUGCUCAACAGAUGGGCUGCGGAAGAUACUAUGGAGCUAGGAGGCGGGAGAGGCAAGCGGUACUCGAUGGGUAGGGGUAAAAUCCGUUGAUCCAUUGAAGACCACCAGUGGCGAAGGCGGCUUGCCAGAACGCGCUCGACGGUGAGGGAUGAAAGCUGGGGGAGCAAACCGG